Molecule: non-coding RNA, 4200 nt
Organism: Peromyscus maniculatus bairdii (prairie deer mouse)
Lineage: Eukaryota; Metazoa; Chordata; Mammalia; Rodentia; Cricetidae
Source: RefSeq, a predicted model, not a curated record
AGAUGCUGGGAACAGUUUCAUCCCUGGCUUGGCUUGCUUCUAUACCCAGAGGGCAGGAUGCCCAGGUUGUGUAGAAAAUGGUGAGGCCCUGUGCCUGCACCCUCUGCAAUCAAGAGAGGAGGCCCCUGCCCAUGUUCACCCCUUCCAGACCCCCAGCAGCGGUGGGUUGGUGCUCAGUCACCCUUGCCCUGGUGUGGGGGACGGGAGCCCCAGUCUCACAAAGAGGUCCUGUGCCCGUCUGUACUCCCAGCCAUGUCCAGGGACAGUGGCGUUUGAUUACUGGUUUCUGUUGCUGAGUGUUGACAGGCACCUGCUUCAGGAUCCACGAGAGCCAAACCUAAUAUCCAUUAGCACAGGAACCGUUGUGAGCAUUUAGUGUGGUCAGCUCUCCGUAUAAGGCACAGAGCUCAAAGCCAAAUUAGAUACUCCCUUCCGGAAACCACGCCAACACAGGUUUUCGAUUUUCUCUUUAAAUCACUGAUAGCAGUGUCUCAAUAUAGGUAUCAGAGUGUCUCCGACCUCCAGUCAUGCAGCUCUUGCUGGGGCUCGGCUUCCCAGGAAGAUUUCUUAACUACAUAAAUAAACGUAUUUCUGAAAAGUUAUUGGGAUUAGCCGACAGUAGUGUGUGUGUGUGUGUGUGUGUGUGUGUGUGUGUGUGUGUGUGUGUGUGUGUACAUGUGGGUGCACGUUCAUGUAGUGGGUGUGUUUGUAGGUGCUGGUGCAUGCACGUGCAUGGGUGGGUGGUCAGAAGUCAGCCUCACACAUCAUUCCUCAGGCAACCAUCUACCCCGUGUUUUGAGGCAGGAUCUCACUAGGACCUGGUGCUUGCUGGUUAGAGUAGGCUUGGUUGGCCAGAGAAUUCCAGAGCUUCUCCUGACUUACCUCCCCGAAACUGUACUGGGAUUACAGACCACCACACAUCUUUUACAUGGAUCCUGGGGAUUGAACUCAGGUCCCCAAACUGUGUGGCAAGCACCUCACUGAUUGAACUAUCUCCUUGGCCCCUUCAGGGGGUUUUUGGUUUGUUUGUUUGUUUUUAAAUGUAAUUCUUUUAGGUCUGGGGAUUUGGCUUGGUUGACAAAUUUCUUACCACUCAAGCAUAAGGACCUGAGUUUGGAUCUCCAGCGCCCACACAGAAGCCGGAUGUGGUCCCCGAUGACUGCUAUCCCAGCCUAGUCAAACGGUUGAGUAGCAGAGCUAUGCCCUGCCCUAUGAAGAAGUCAGAGCAAGGAAUCAGACCUUGGCUGGAGCAGACUGGUGCAGCGGAGACAGCAGAGGUGGCCUGGGAUGCACGGUGGAGAGCGUCAGCUACAAUGCUGGACCUUACAGGUCUCACUGUGAAGGCCUUACACUGUCCUUGCCAAGCCUGGAGCUUCUGGGUUAGCCAUCCAGUCUCUCUGCUGGAAAAAGUCAUAUGCAGAGCAGGUGGCCUUGACGGAAGGGAACAGAAGCCUAUCCAUGCCAUGUUCCAGCGGAGCUCUGGCCUGAGCUGGCCCUCCAGCCAGCCACAUGCAGCCACUUGAGGGUCCCAGAAAAAGGAAGCAGGAAGACCACCCAGGUCAAGUGUGGACCUAAAAUCCAAGCUUCAGCCAUUGCUUUUUGCCGAGCUCUCAGGCUGCAGGACUGAGAAAAGGAUGGUGUGUCAAGGCCAACUUCGGAGUUUCGAGACCUGGGCUGCAGUCUCAGCUCCUCCUCCUGCUGUCUGGGAGGCCUUGGAGGACCUGCCUGUGUGCUGUGCAGUGGGUUCUGUCCUGCCCUGUCCUUUGGAAGAGCUGCUAAGAAGUUCCAGGGACCCAUGGACACAAACAGGUUUUGUCACCAGCCGAAUGUCAAAUAAGUGCCUCUCUAUGAUGACAUCAUUGAUGGUCUCUUCAGUGGUACCUGGAGAAACCAAACUCAAUUUAGAAUCCAGUUCUAGAGUCACCUCAGUCACAUUUCAUGUAUGCACUUGCUGUAUGUGGCUGGUGGCUAGCACACAGGCAGACUGAGUGUGUCCGUCAUCACAGAAAGGUCUAGCAGCCACAUUGCACCAGGGGUUUUCCAGUGGGAAAUGAAAGGGAGAGAUGAAGGCAGAGGAAACCUGAGCAGGGAAGAGGGGUGGCGUGGACUGUCUGUCUUGCUUUUGCAGACCUUGCUUAGAAAAAUAGACUCAGGGGGCCCCCUUGCAGUUUGCGGGCAUCCCAGGCAUGUUCUUAGAAAACAGCCAUUUCUCACCACUAGAUCAGGGAGUCUCAGGCUGGCUCCAACAGACAGGACCACUGCAGCUGGUAGGCAGGCGGACUACUGCAUACUGCUCCAUUGGCCUGGCUGCUGGUGGACAGCGUGGCCUCUAGAGUUGACAGAGCACUCCUGUACACAUUGCAACAUAAGCUGAGAGGGCAUGGCAGGGAACAGUCACCACAGUGCCAAGGUGAUGGUGCCUCAGAGUGGUGCCAAGGGAUCAAUUAGUUAGUCAUGAGUUGCCUCCUGCUGAGGCUCCCUGAGUCCCAGAUCCUCUCUAGACUCCAGGCCAAGACAUUAAGAAACCAGCUCUCUCAGAGUCCCCAAGACCAGCUAGUAUAGCCUGCCCAUCAGACUGUGAAGCAGGGGUUCACAGAGCAAAGAGAGCCCUCUCCAAGAGGCCACCCUCUCUAAGAGGCCUACUGAGAGGUCACCCCAGAUAAUCGAUUUUUUCUGACUUGUUCCAUCAAAUGCCCCCCAUGCCUACCCCUAUAGACACAAGCCACAUUCAUAUAUGUGAAGAUAUGUGACUCAUAUACAGCAGACACACACAUAGACAUGCCUACCAAGAUAGAGAGAGAUAUGCAGGCAUUAAAGAGUCAAGGUAGAUGACUUUUGUGGGGCUGAACUAGAAUUUAUCCCAUACCCUGACCCAAGGACAUUGAAAGGUUAAAUGUGUGUUCCUGGAUAUAAACAAUCCCCAGGAGACUUCCUGGAUCCCAGUGACUAAAACUAAACACCCUGAAGUCAGGACCAGGAGACCCUAAAUUUGAACACAUUGUGGGAGGGUGGCCCUGCUAGACACAUGCUUCAGCUUAUAUUCAGCCAGUACCGUUUUUCCACUGGACAAUGAGAAUAUUAGGGGCCAGCAACUGCUCUUGUAUCUUCCAGGCUUCCUGGGAUGAUUCUUGCCCCAUUUUCUUUAUCUCCUUCAAUAUCACAACAGCCCCAUCUUUCUCAUGGGACUUUCAAGUCUCUCCCCAUUCCCUGGAGCGGGUAGGCAGCAUCGCAAAUGACCAAUGAAAAGUCAGGGUUCUGGGUGCAGCAGUUGGUAGAACGCUUUCCUAGGAUGCAUGACAGCCUGCUUUGAGUCCCAGCACAGUGGUACAGUACAGUGGCAUGGUGGUUCACACCCACAGUCCUAAUACCUGAAAGGUAAAGGCAGAAGGAUCAAGAGUUCAGAGUCACCCUCAGCUAACAUUUGGGGUCAGCCUGGGCUACAUGAGAGCCUACCUCCAAACACUAAUCUGAAACAGCAAAAGUUAUUCUCUCUAGAACUAGUGUGCCCCAUGGCUUGGAGCAGCACCAGGAGGCUAAGGCUGGGUGGGAGUUCCUAGAAGGACCUUGAGAUGUUAUGGGUCCACGGCUGGCUGGUUUUCCUUCCUUCCCUGCCCCAGGGUCAGAUCUGUACUCUACUUUGCUCUUAGGAACUUCAGCUGGUGACUCUGAAAAAGCCAGGUUUUUUCAUGGACCAGAUUUUUAGAGUAAUCUCCAAAAAUGACAUCUUCUCACAGGGUCUAUAGAUGACCCAGACUACAGUCAUGCUGUCAUCCCAAGGCUGUCAUGAUCAUCAAAAGCCAUCCCCAAACCCAGUGUGAAUUUAAAGAAAGUCACUCAUCUCUGAAACUACAGGAAAUAUCUGUGGGUCAAUUCCAAGUGAAACACUCCCUGCUUUGUGUCCCUUUAGGUCAAGAAGAUGAUUUAGUAAGUGAUGAUUGAUCAUUUUCAAUCACACUAUUUAUUUAUUUAUUUAUUUAUUUAUUUAUUUAUUUAUUUAUUUAUUUAUUUUACUCUGUUGAUCAGGCUGGCCAACUGUAAUUCUAAAACACUAACAGCUAGCAUUACUUAUGUAAUAAUAGUUUCCUUAAAAUAAUUGCUAUCAUUAGACUAUAAGCCACAGCACAAAUCAUACAAGGGCAGGUAUUUUUGUCAAUUUUUAAAACCAAAAUCAUCUCAGUAGCCUGAUCAGUGAUUGGUGCA